UACGUAGGGUGCGAGCGUUAAUCGGAAUUACUGGGCGUAAAGCGUGCGCAGGCGGUUAUAUAAGACAGUUGUGAAAUCCCCGGGCUCAACCUGGGAAUUGCAUCUGUGACUGUAUAGCUAGAGUACGGUAGAGGGGGAUGGAAUUCCGCGUGUAGCAGUGAAAUGCGUAGAUAUGCGGAGGAACACCGAUGGCGAAGGCAGCUCACUAAGCUAUGAUUGACGCUGAGGCUCGAAAGCGUGGGGAUCAAACAGG
Molecule: ribosomal RNA, 253 nt
Filed under: uncultured bacterium
Lineage: Bacteria
Description: partial 16S ribosomal RNA
Rfam family: Bacterial small subunit ribosomal RNA
Source: RNAcentral